Molecule: long non-coding RNA, 267 nt
Filed under: Arabidopsis lyrata
Lineage: Eukaryota; Viridiplantae; Streptophyta; Magnoliopsida; Brassicales; Brassicaceae
Description: long non-coding RNA (ALYR_LNC000105)
Source: RNAcentral
AGAUCCAAGCAUUGAUUUUCGCUUGUCGCUCUCUACUCUAGUCAUUCUCUCGGAAUCUAUUUUGUAUCUUCAAGUCUGUUUAGGUUUUAUGUACCUUGAGUUCAAAUUCUUAGUUUAAAAUUUUUUUACAUCCAAAUUUGUUUUGUUCUCAACCGUUUUACUAAUGCAGAACAACAAUAGCUGUCGUUUCUAGAAGGAAAUAUGCAAAAUAAUUUUUCCUUUGACUCUGGAAUGUCGUUACAUGAAAAUAAAUAACAUUUCGUCAUA